This 215-nucleotide ribosomal RNA is filed under the name uncultured fungus. RNAcentral's name for it is "partial small subunit ribosomal RNA". The stretch from base 37 to 215 matches the Rfam family "Eukaryotic small subunit ribosomal RNA", at positions 684 to 864 of the family's 1831-position model. The record is from RNAcentral. Lineage: Eukaryota; Fungi.
GGAUCAAUUUACUGGUCGUGCUAUUGUACGUACUGGUUUUAUUGGUUCCUCCCUUCUGACGAACCAUGAUGCCAUUAAUUUGGUGUCUUGGGGAAUCAGGACUGUUACUUUGAAAAAAUUAGAGUGUUUAAAGCAGGCUCACGCUUGAAUACAUUAGCAUGGAAUAACGAAAUAGGACGUUUGAUUCUAUUUUGUUGGUUUCUAGGAUCGACGUA